This 60-nucleotide transfer RNA is filed under the name Ovis ammon karelini. RNAcentral's name for it is "tRNA-Ser". Lineage: Eukaryota; Metazoa; Chordata; Mammalia; Artiodactyla; Bovidae. The record is from RNAcentral.
GAAGAAGUAUGCAAGAACUGCUAAUUCUAUGCCCCCGUGUCUAAUAACAUGGCUUUUUCA